Non-coding RNA from Schistosoma mattheei, 45 nucleotides. The record is from Rfam. NCBI's taxonomy places the organism in Eukaryota, Metazoa, Platyhelminthes, Trematoda, Strigeidida, Schistosomatidae.
AUCCGGCUGAUAAGCCCCAAAUCGGACGAAACGCGCGUCCUGGAU